GAGGGAAGAAGGGAGGCUGAGCAGCCAGGAGACUCCCAGCCACCAGCAAGUUGGUUCAUUCCUUAAACAGCUUCAUGGAGGUCCAGUGCUGGGCUCAGAUGACCUGGGUAAAUCAAACUUGCUGCCUGCCCUUAUGAAACCCAUGAUCUGCUACGGACCUGUGGGCCUGGAGGUCAUGCCCCUGCAUCUGGAUCCCUCUGGGACCUGUGAAAUGUACACCCCCAGGCCUGCUCUCUGGAAAUAUAAAUCUGUGGUCCAAUUGCUCUAGCUAAGACUUCAAGUAGUAUAUCUAACAGAGUUCCUGUUGCCUCCAGGUCCUUCUAUCCAACAUCCCUUGGGAACAACCUAAGAAGAGUUUGACUA
Molecule: long non-coding RNA, 363 nt
Organism: Psammomys obesus (fat sand rat)
Lineage: Eukaryota; Metazoa; Chordata; Mammalia; Rodentia; Muridae
Exons: 4
Source: RefSeq, a predicted model, not a curated record